Molecule: small RNA, 106 nt
Filed under: Marmota monax (woodchuck)
Lineage: Eukaryota; Metazoa; Chordata; Mammalia; Rodentia; Sciuridae
Source: RNAcentral
GCCAGGCAUGGGGUGCAUGCCUGUAAUCCCAGUGAUUCAGGAGGCUAAGGCAGGAGGAUCACAAGUUUGAGGCCAGCCUCAGCAACAUAGUGAGGCCCUGUCUCGA